This 674-nucleotide long non-coding RNA is filed under the name Bos indicus x Bos taurus (hybrid cattle). RNAcentral describes it as "lncRNA (ENSBIXG00000007683.1)". The record is from RNAcentral. Lineage: Eukaryota; Metazoa; Chordata; Mammalia; Artiodactyla; Bovidae.
UUCUUUUCUGUCAAACAUUAACAAGAAUCAGCCAUAGGUACCCAUAUAUCUCCUCCCUUUUGAACCUCUCACCCCUCUAGGGUGAUACAAGAUCAUCUCUUAGUGAAGACCCAGGGGUGCUUUAUGGAAACCACUGUGAGCGAAUGACACUCGAACUGCAUCUGCCAGCUUUACGGGAAGAGGUAGGAGAUGACAAGACUGCCAUCAAAUGUGAAACCUCGACCCCCCACCUCGCUGCAGUCCCUUCGGCUGGACUGCCUGCACACGGGGGCGCUGCGCAUAGCCACCCACGAGGAUAUCAGGGACACCCACAACUCGACAGGCUCUCAGGACAACCCCGGGAACAACCCCAGCAGCAGAACCAGCAGGCAGGACUCGCUGCACAAAGCCCCAAAGAAAAAGGGCAUCAAUCAAGUCCUCCAUUAGCUGCUUGUUUCGCAAGAAGGAAAAGGGCCAGCCUGAAAACCCCAGCAAGGAGGCAUUAGGACCAGGUGGGUGCUUCACUGUUCAGAGGGAGGAGGGCCUGCAGGCAUGUCCCUUCUGUGUCUCCUCCAUUGUCCCCACGAGGCUCCAGUCACUCACACUGGGAGUCCUCCUGGGAGCAGGAGCAGAAGAGGUGUCUGUCUUCUCAAUGGGUCUGAGAUGAUCAGAUGAGCUAAUGAGUCGAUGGAUGG